UCGACUAGUUUAAUGAAAAGAAGAACUAGGGGUGAUAUGAUACCAAUGUUCCAAUAUCUAAGAGGCUGCCACAAAGAAGAAGAGGUCAACCUAUUUUUCAAAGCACCUGAAGGCAGGACAUAAAGCAAUGGAUAAAAACUAAUCAAGGAAUGAACUUGAACUAAGAAGAAUUU
Molecule: non-coding RNA, 173 nt
Organism: Pseudonaja textilis
Lineage: Eukaryota; Metazoa; Chordata; Lepidosauria; Squamata; Elapidae
Source: RefSeq, a predicted model, not a curated record